AAUGGGGGCACCCUGAUCCAGCAAUGCCGCGUGUGUGAAGAAGGCCUUCGGGUGGUAAAGCACUUUUGUCCGGAAAGAAAACGCCGUGGUUAAUACCCGUGGCGGAUGACGGUACCGGAAGAAUAAGCACCGGCUAACUACGUGCCAGCAGCCGCGGUAAUACGUAGGGUGCAAGCGUUAAUCGGAAUUACUGGGCGGUAAAGCGUGCGCAGGCGGUCCGCUAAGACAGAUGUGAAAUCCCCGGGCUUAACCUGGGAACUGCAUUUGUGACUGGCGGGCUAGAGUAUGGCAGAGGGGGGUAGAAUUCCACGUGUAGCAGUGAAAUGCGUAGAGAUGUGGAGGAAUACCGAUGGCGAAGGCAGCCCCCUGGGCCAAUACUGACGCUCAUGCACGAAAGCGUGGGGAGCAAACAGGAUUAGAUACCCUGGUAGUCCACGCCCUAAACGAUGUCAACUAGUUGUCGGGUCUUCAUUGACUUGGUAACGUAGCUAACGCGUGAAGUUGACCGCCUGGGGAGUACGGUCGCAAGAUUAAAACUCAAAGGAAUUGACGGGGACCCGCACAAGCGGUGGAUGAUGUGG
Molecule: ribosomal RNA, 581 nt
Filed under: uncultured bacterium
Lineage: Bacteria
Description: bacterial SSU rRNA
Rfam family: Bacterial small subunit ribosomal RNA
Source: RNAcentral